RNAcentral lists this transfer RNA (74 nucleotides) under Nanobdellota archaeon. RNAcentral's name for it is "tRNA-Arg". It matches the Rfam family "tRNA". Rfam says of the family: Transfer RNA (tRNA) molecules are approximately 80 nucleotides in length. Their secondary structure includes four short double-helical elements and three loops (D, anti-codon, and T loops). RNAcentral also lists the same sequence under 1 other name. Lineage: Archaea; Nanobdellati; Nanobdellota. The record is from RNAcentral.
GGCCCUGUAGCUUAACCUGGAUAGAGUAGCGGGUUUCGGCCCCGCUGGUGGGGGUUCAAAUCCCUCCAGGGUCU